Molecule: ribosomal RNA, 365 nt
Filed under: uncultured eukaryote
Lineage: Eukaryota
Description: partial 18S ribosomal RNA
Rfam family: Eukaryotic small subunit ribosomal RNA
Source: RNAcentral
CAAUAGCGUAUAUUUAAGUUGUUGCAGUUAAAAAGCUCGUAGUCGGAUUUUGGCUGAGAACGAUCGGUCCGCCGUUAGGUGUGCACUGAUUGGUCUCAGCUUCCUGGUGAGGAGGUGUGCUUCACGGCCACUUAGUCACCGUGGUUACUUUGAAAAAAUUAGAGUGUUCAAAGCGGGCUUACGCUUGAAUAUAUUAGCAUGGAAUAACACCAUAGGACUCCUGUCCUAUUUCGUUGGUCUCGGGACGGGAGUAAUGAUUAAGAGGAACAGUUGGGGGCAUUCGUAUUUCAUUGUCAGAGGUGAAAUUCCUGGAUUUAUGAAAGACGAACUUCUGCGAAAGCAUUUGCCAAGGAUGUUUUCAUUGA